RNAcentral lists this ribosomal RNA (279 nucleotides) under Triticum aestivum (bread wheat). RNAcentral's name for it is "partial small subunit ribosomal RNA". The record is from RNAcentral. Lineage: Eukaryota; Viridiplantae; Streptophyta; Magnoliopsida; Poales; Poaceae.
GUGCCAGCGUCGAUGACAUAAUUUAUCAAUGGUGGGUUCAGUAGUAACUCAAAUCUGUUUUUCUGAAUGUGCCAGCGUGUGAUGGAAUUUAUCAUUGCUGCUGAGCUCUCUUUACUUUGGGCACUGUUUACCGGCAUCUCAAUCCCGACCUAGCAGGUCUGCUUACUGGCAUCAACAGGUACCACUCUCUCCCCUUCUCCUCUAGAAAAAUGCAUGAAUUGAAAAUUCACAGCAAACUGGACAAGAUCAGUAUACUAGCAUUGUUACACGAUUAAUUAC